GACCCUUGCUUAUCCCAAGGAUAAGCCAACACAGGCGCAACUCCAAUAUCAUCAACUUUUGGAGUGAGCAGCGGUGUUAGGUUAGUUGCAGCAAGGCUCUUAGGAGGAAACAGUAGUAAAAAACUUAGUUUUGUUGGAGAAAAAACUGGUAAUUCAAACUUUGAUGGCAAAGGAACCUAUUUAGUGUUCAAUGUUAGUGAUACAAUUUUUGUCAGCGACUUGAAAUCUCGAGAUAAGGACCCUAUAAAGUCUAUACAUUUCAGCAAUUCAAAACCUGUUUGCCAUACAUUUGAUCCAGAUGCAAAGGAAGGACCUAACUUGCUCAUUGGGUUAAAGUCUGGAGAUGUUUAUUUAGUAUCUUCACGGCAACAACUACAACAUAUUGGGAAGAAGCUUAUUAGGGCACACCAUUACAACAAGGAUGGUGUUGAGCAUAAUGAAGAAGGCCAGCAGGAUGAGUCUUCCCAUACUGAAGCUUGUACCUUCCUUUUGGAUUCUUGAAAUUGGUCUUCAAACCAGGUGAUUGUGCAUUAUUAUUGUUGUUGUUUCCUUGUACUGAUGAUGAUGACAUUGAAUUACCACUAACCUCUCAAUUCAUCCUUCUUCCUAUCAACAAUUGAAAAAAAAAAUUCUUAUAUGCAUAAAAGAAUGAAGAGUUAGGUCGACCUCAACAUAAAUAAAUCUAAAGUAAAUAUAAAAUUGAUCGAAGAAAAUAAUAAAAAUUUUAUUAUCGUGCGAUGCGCGGCCAGUUUUCCUAGUAUAUAUAUAUAAAAGAGGAUUAGAGGCAUGCUGAUAUGGCAUGCCUCAAUGAUCAAGAAAUUAAUUUAUCUUUUUUCUGAUUUUAUUGUUUUUUUUUUCUUUUAAAAUGAUUAAAAAAUGAGUAUUAUCCAUUUAAAAAAUAAUCAAACGUCGCUAUUAAAUAAACCGUCGACUUAAAUCCACUUAAUUAGGGAUUGAGUUUAAUUUGCAGUGUCUUCUUCUUAUUUUCCACUUCCUCCCAAGAGUCUUCUUCAGUUCCACUUCUUCCUGCUGUCGCCAUGGGUAAUUUCUUAUCUUCUAUCUUUCAAUUUUAUCCCAUCUUCUGGUCCACUAAAAUUUCUUCUUUGUAAUUUUGCUAUUGGCUUUAUUUCUCUCAUGUUUGAGAAACGUUUCAAGACUGCAAAGUCUUGUAUAAGUACAAAUUACAUUAAUCUUCAAAGUUCUGAGAAUUUAAAUUUUGAAGAACAUUGACUUGUGUGUGCGAAUAGAAACAGAAAACAAAAGAAUUAUUUUAUGAAGUAUUGUUGAUUAAGAUUAUGUUGCAUGCACAGGAAGCCAGCUCUACUCCAAGAGAGAAGACCAUGAGUAUGCUAAUGCUAAGUUUUUUUUUUCUCGUAAGUAUGACUAAAAUUCAUAAGACACUAUAUAAUAUAAAGACAGAGAGUGAAACGGGUGAGAAAACAGAAGAGUUUUAGUACUUUCUUGGACUUCCUUUCUAAUCUUUUUGUUAUUUUAUUCUACUUUUUGGAAUCGAUAAAGUAUUAAAAAAAUUAUUCUACUUUUUGGAAUUGCUACAGUAUUAUUUCAAUUUUUUUGAAAAAAAUUCAUAAGCAGUUUUUAGAGCUACUUUUUAACUUGACAAUCAUAUAAUAAUAUUUAUUUAUAAAAUAGGAGCAAAAACUUCGUAGUAUUAUUAUUAGGAAUCAACUUAUGUGAUUUGGUAAACUCUUUACCGAGGAAUAGUGUAACCGAUUAUACCAAAGAUGAGAUGGAGCGAACGGGUUGUGUGGGUUAGGUUCUUUUAAGUGAUUUAUAAGCAGUUGUAAUUUUUGUCUCUUUUUUUUUUUACUAGAGUGUUUGGAUUAAGUUAUUUUUAAAUGUUUUUGGCUUUUACGUACUUUAUUUUAGGCUUAAAAAGGAAGAAAAAUGAUUUUUAAUUGGGAAAAUUAUUUAUCCCUUAAAAGGUACCAAAAAGGGUCAAAAGUCGAAAAGUUAAUUGUUAUCUGCUUUUAACUUUUAAGUUACUUAUAAAAAAUUCAUCCAAAUGCUCUCCAAGCCUAAAGUUUAGUGCUUAAAAUCACUUUGUAUGAAGUGUGUUUCAUAGGGUUUUAGGCUACAGGUGACAAAAGAGUUUUAAAAUGAGGUGUAGGUAACACAAGUCUUAAUUAUUAGU
Molecule: long non-coding RNA, 2152 nt
Organism: Capsicum annuum
Lineage: Eukaryota; Viridiplantae; Streptophyta; Magnoliopsida; Solanales; Solanaceae
Exons: 3
Source: RefSeq, a predicted model, not a curated record